ACGGGAGGCAGCAGUGGGGAAUAUUGCACAAUGGGCGAAAGCCUGAUGCAGCGACGCCGCGUGAGUGAAGAAGUAUUUCGGUAUGUAAAGCUCUAACAGCAGGGAAGAAAAUGACGGUACCUGACUAAGAAGCCCCGGCUAACUACGUGCCAGCAGCCGCGGUAAUACGUAGGGGGCAAGCGUUAUCCGGAUUUACUGGGUGUAAAGGGAGCGCAGACGGCAAGGCAAGUCUGAAGUGAAAGCUCGGGGCUCAACCCCGGAACUGCUUUGGAAACUGUUUAGCUAGAGUGCAGGAGAGGUAAGUGGAAUUCCUAGUGUAGCAGUGAAAUGCUUAGAUAUUAGGAGGAACACCAGUGGCGAGGGCGGCUUACUGGACUGUAACUGACGUUGAGGCUCGAAAGCGUGGGGAGCAAACAGGAUUAGAUACCCUGGUA
Molecule: ribosomal RNA, 434 nt
Filed under: uncultured Lachnospiraceae bacterium
Lineage: Bacteria; Bacillati; Bacillota; Clostridia; Lachnospirales; Lachnospiraceae
Description: bacterial SSU rRNA
Rfam family: Bacterial small subunit ribosomal RNA
Source: RNAcentral